This is a long non-coding RNA of Sander lucioperca (pikeperch), 85 nucleotides long. RefSeq lists it as uncharacterized. The record is from RefSeq and is a predicted model, not a curated record. Lineage: Eukaryota; Metazoa; Chordata; Actinopteri; Perciformes; Percidae. The transcript has 3 exons.
AUGGCUAACUGGACUUUGCAUCUCCCGGGCUGUCAUCCGUUCUCUCGGCAAAGAAGUCUCCCUACAGUGGGAGCGAAGUUAAAGG